UAGGGAAUCUUCCACAAUGGACGCAAGUCUGAUGGAGCAACGCCGCGUGAGUGAAGAAGGUUUUCGGACCGUAAAGCUCUGUUGUUGGUGAAGAAGGAUAGAGGUAGUAACUGGCCUUUAUUUGACGGUAAUCAACCAGAAAGUCACGGCUAACUACGUGCCAGCAGCCACGGUAAUACGUAGGUGGCAAAGCGUUGUCCGGAUUUAUUGGGCGUAAAGCGAGCGCAGGCGGAAGAAUAAGUCUGAUGUGAAAGCCCUCGGCUUAACCGAGGAAUUGCAUCGGAAACUGUUUUUCUUGAGUGCAGAAGAGGAGAGUAGAACUCCAUGUGUAGCGGUGGAAUGCGUAGAUAUAUGGAAGAAUACCAGUGGCGAAGGCGGCUCUCUGGUCUGCAACUGACGCUGAGGCUCGAAAGCAUGGGUAGCGAACAGGAUUAGAUACCCUGGUAGUCCAUGCCGUAAAACGAUGAGUGCUAAGUGUUGGGAGGCUUCCGCCUCUCAGUGCUGCAGCUAACGCAUUAAGCACUCCGCCUGGGGGAGUACGACCGCAAGGUUGAAAC
RNAcentral lists this ribosomal RNA (557 nucleotides) under uncultured bacterium. Its description in RNAcentral is "partial 16S ribosomal RNA". It matches the Rfam family "Bacterial small subunit ribosomal RNA", at positions 355 to 900 of the family's 1533-position model. The record is from RNAcentral.